Molecule: long non-coding RNA, 647 nt
Filed under: Manacus vitellinus (golden-collared manakin)
Lineage: Eukaryota; Metazoa; Chordata; Aves; Passeriformes; Pipridae
Description: lncRNA (ENSMVIG00005008786.1)
Source: RNAcentral
GCACAGAACCUUCCAGAACACGCUGCUCAAUCAUGAGCCUCUCACCCCAAGGGGGGCACCUGGGGCCAACCCCCCACUCCUUCCACAAGGCCACUCGCCUCAGGUUUAGUGUGAGCUGCUCAGAGAACCACAGCACACUCUCCACAGUUAAUGUCACUUCCCAUUUCUGCUGCUGAGAUGUCCCAAAUGGUGACAACAGGGAGCCUAUUAGAGCUUAAAAACUAGCUCUGUUCCCAGAGGACCAGUGUCCCAAAUUCAGUCACGCCAGAACAAGCAGGAGGAAGGGAAUUGUGUAUGUGUGUCCUGAAAAGUGCAUUAAAGAUGACAGAGCAGAGGAGGAGAGCUCCUGAUCACCACAACCCUCGUUGUACCCUCAAGGAAAGGUGCUCUGACCACUGCAGGAGGAAGAUAGGGGCACAUAGCCUGUGCUCCACACUCAUCCCACCCCCGACCUUCCCUGUCCUGCAGUUUAGUCAUGGAUGACCUGAAAGCAUCAAGACCUGGAUGCCUCCAUGGUGCAAGAUGCAGCCUCAGAUCACGUCACAUUUCCAGCAGCUCAUUAAAAGCACCACCUCAGCAAGGCAGCCCAGGAGGAAUAUGGAGUGUAGGGAGUGCAAGGAAAAGACAAGGAGGGGGUGAAACAAAUG